GCAUAUCAAUAAGCGGAGGAAAAGAAAGUAACAAUGAUUCCCUCAGUAACGGCGAGCGAAGAGGGAUAAGCUCAAAUUUUAAAUCUGUUGGGUUCCACUUAACAGAGUUGUAUUUUGAAGAAACGUUCUCUGCAUCCAGGAUUAGCCUAAAUCCUUUGGGAUAAGGUAUCAUGGAGGGUGAGAAUCCCGUUCAUGGUUAAUCUUAAGGAAGCUCUACGAUACGUUUUCCAAGAGUCGAGUUGUUUGGGAUUGCAGCUCAAAAUGGGAGGUAAAUUUCUCCUAAGGCUAAAUAUUGGCGAGAGACCGAUAGCGAACAAGUACCGUGAGGGGAAGAUGAAAAGAACUUGAAAAGAGAGUUAAACAGUACGUGAAAUUGUUGAAAGGGAAACGAUUGAAGUCAGUCAUACCAACGGGAAAUCAACCUUUUGAGCUCGGUCUCGUGGGUUUCGAAGAGUUUCAAAGCCUUCGGAUUCGCGGGAUUGGGAUCUCUUGGUGUACUUUUUCGUACGGUUAGUCAACAUCGGUUUUGAAUGUCAUAAAAUGACUGGAGGAAUGUAGCUUCGAUCUCGUAUUGAAGUGUUAUAGCCUUUGGUAGAUGUGAUGUUUGAGACCGAGGAUUGCAACGGAUACCCUUCAGGGCUAUUCGUCUGAUCUCUGAUACGUUGCCUUGAUGUUGAAAGCUUGCUUAUGAUGUUAGGGUAUUACGGUCAAAAGGUUGGAACGAAUUACAUUCGUUAAGGAUGUUGACGUAAUGACUUUUAAACGACCCGUCUUGAAACACGGACCA
RNAcentral lists this ribosomal RNA (787 nucleotides) under Funneliformis mosseae. Its description in RNAcentral is "LSU rRNA". It matches the Rfam family "Eukaryotic large subunit ribosomal RNA", at positions 38 to 668 of the family's 3401-position model. Lineage: Eukaryota; Fungi; Glomeromycota; Glomeromycetes; Glomerales; Glomeraceae. The record is from RNAcentral.